RNAcentral lists this ribosomal RNA (1180 nucleotides) under Vibrio cholerae. RNAcentral's name for it is "partial 23S ribosomal RNA". It matches the Rfam family "Bacterial large subunit ribosomal RNA", at positions 1 to 1238 of the family's 2925-position model. The record is from RNAcentral. Lineage: Bacteria; Pseudomonadati; Pseudomonadota; Gammaproteobacteria; Vibrionales; Vibrionaceae.
GGUUAAGUGACUAAGCGUACACGGUGGAUGCCUGGGCAGUCAGAGGCGAUGAAGGACGUACUAACUUGCGAUAAGCGCAGAUAAGGCAGUAAGAGCCGUUUGAGUCUGCGAUUUCCGAAUGGGGAAACCCAACUGCAUAAGCAGUUACUGUUAACUGAAUACAUAGGUUAACAGAGCAAACCGGGGGAACUGAAACAUCUAAGUACCCCGAGGAGAAGAAAUCAACCGAGAUUCCGGUAGUAGCGGCGAGCGAACCUGGAUUAGCCCUUAAGCACUCGGUGAAGUAGGUGAACAAGCUGGAAAGCUUGGCGAUACAGGGUGAUAGCCCCGUAACCGACGCUUCAUCGAGCGUGAAAUCGAGUAGGGCGGGACACGUGAUAUCCUGUCUGAAUAUGGGGGGACCAUCCUCCAAGGCUAAAUACUCCUGACUGACCGAUAGUGAACCAGUACCGUGAGGGAAAGGCGAAAAGAACCCCUGUGAGGGGAGUGAAAUAGAACCUGAAACCGUGUACGUACAAGCAGUAGGAGCACCUUCGUGGUGUGACUGCGUACCUUUUGUAUAAUGGGUCAGCGACUUAUAUUCAGUGGCAAGGUUAACCGUAUAGGGGAGCCGUAGCGAAAGCGAGUCUUAACUGGGCGCUCAGUCUCUGGAUAUAGACCCGAAACCGGGUGAUCUAGCCAUGGGCAGGUUGAAGGUUGAGUAACAUCAACUGGAGGACCGAACCGACUAAUGUUGAAAAAUUAGCGGAUGACUUGUGGCUAGGGGUGAAAGGCCAAUCAAACUCGGAGAUAGCUGGUUCUCCCCGAAAGCUAUUUAGGUAGCGCCUCGGACGAAUACUACUGGGGGUAGAGCACUGUUAAGGCUAGGGGGUCAUCCCGACUUACCAACCCUUUGCAAACUCCGAAUACCAGUAAGUACUAUCCGGGAGACACACGGCGGGUGCUAACGUCCGUCGUGGAGAGGGAAACAACCCAGACCGCCAGCUAAGGUCCCAAAGUAUUGCUAAGUGGGAAACGAUGUGGGAAGGCUCAGACAGCUAGGAUGUUGGCUUAGAAGCAGCCAUCAUUUAAAGAAAGCGUAAUAGCUCACUAGUCGAGUCGGCCUGCGCGGAAGAUGUAACGGGGCUAAGCAAUACACCGAAGCUGCGGCAAUAUCUUUUAGAUAUUGGGUAGGGGAGCG